Molecule: long non-coding RNA, 740 nt
Filed under: Mus musculus (house mouse)
Lineage: Eukaryota; Metazoa; Chordata; Mammalia; Rodentia; Muridae
Description: long non-coding RNA chr15:58155874-58156614
Source: RNAcentral
UCGAGGCCAGCCUGGUCUAUAAAUCAAGUUCCAGGACAGCCAGGGCUACACAGAGAAACCUUAUCUUGAAAAACCAAAAAAAAAAAAAAAAAAAAAAAAAAAAAAAAAAAAUGUAAUUACACUGUUUUCCCCUUUCCCUUUUAUUUUUUAAAAUUUAUUUUUAUAAUAUUUUAUACAUAUGAAUGUUUUGCUUUUGUGUGUCUGUGCACCACAUGGUGCUGAGGAGGUCAAAUGGGGACAUUGGCUCUCUUGAAACUGGAAUUGUGAGCCACCAUCUAGGUGCUGGGAUUCAAACGGAGGUCCUCUGCAAGAACAAAUGUUCUUAACUUGGGAGCCAUCUCUGCAGCUCCUCUCUUUUACUUACUUACUUUAGACUUAUAAAUGAGGACACUCUCCUACACUACUUAUUUUAGACAGGAUCUCACUAUGUAUUCCUGGCUGGCCUGAAGCUCACUCUGUAGACCAGGCAAUUUUUUUAAAAAAGAUUUAUUUAUUAUUAUACAUAAGUACACUGUUGCUGAUUUCAGACACACCAAAAGAGGGCGUCAGAUCUCAUUAUGGGUGGUUGUGAACCAUCAUGUGAUUGUUGGGAUUUGAACUCAGGACCUUUGGAAGAGGAAGAGCAGUCAGUGCUCUUACCCGCUGAGCCAUCUCACCAGCCCCAGGCUAGUCUUAAAUUCAUAGAGAUAUUCUCCCUGAGGGCUGGGAUUAAAGGUGUAUGCCACAAUGCCUCUAACUCU